GGCGACCGGCAAACGGGUGCGGAACACGUACAGAACCUUCCUUUCAGCGGGGAAUAGCCCGGGGAAACCCGGAUUAAUACCCCAUAGUAUGGUGGAGAGGCAUCUCUCUAUUAUUAAAGAUUUAUCACUGAAAGAUGGCUGUGCGGCUGAUUAGAUAGUUGGCGGGGUAACGGCCCACCAAGUCUGCGAUCAGUAACUGGUGUGAGAGCACGACCAGUCACACGGGCACUGAGACACGGGCCCGACUCCUACGGGAGGCAGCAGUAAGGAAUAUUGGUCAAUGGACGCAAGUCUGAACCAGCCAUGCCGCGUGGAGGAUGAAGGUCCUCUGGAUUGUAAACUUCUUUUAUAUGGGACGAAAAAGGGUCUUUCCAGAUCAACUGACGGUACCAUAUGAAUAAGCACCGGCUAACUCCGUGCCAGCAGCCGCGGUAAUACGGAGGGUGCAAGCGUUAUCCGGAUUCACUGGGUUUAAAGGGAGCGUAGGUGGGUUGGUAAGUCAGUGGUGAAAUCCCCGAGCUUAACUUGGGAACUGCCA
This 538-nucleotide ribosomal RNA is filed under the name uncultured Terrimonas sp. Its description in RNAcentral is "bacterial SSU rRNA". It matches the Rfam family "Bacterial small subunit ribosomal RNA", at positions 90 to 626 of the family's 1533-position model. Lineage: Bacteria; Pseudomonadati; Bacteroidota; Chitinophagia; Chitinophagales; Chitinophagaceae. The record is from RNAcentral.